GAUGAACGCUGGCGGCGUGCCUAACACAUGCAAGUCGAACGUGAAACCCGGUACCUAGUAUUGGGUUGAAAGUGGCGAACGGGUGAGUAACACGUUGGUGACCUACCUCGAGGAGGGGGAUAACCGUGGGAAACCAUGGCUAAUACCCCAGAUGUCUAGAUUGUUAGAGGGUCUAGACUAAAGUUCCGACGCCUUGAGAGGGGCCUGCGGGCUAUCAGCUUGUUGGUGGGGUAAUGGCCUACCAAGGCUAAGACGGCUAGGGGGCGUGAGAGCGCGACCCCCCACAAUGGAACUGAGACACGGUCCAUACUCCUACGGGUGGCUG
Molecule: ribosomal RNA, 325 nt
Filed under: uncultured Chloroflexota bacterium
Lineage: Bacteria; Bacillati; Chloroflexota
Description: bacterial SSU rRNA
Rfam family: Bacterial small subunit ribosomal RNA
Source: RNAcentral